UACGAAGGGGGCUAGCGUUGCUCGGAAUCACUGGGCGUAAAGGGUGCGUAGGCGGGUCUUUAAGUCAGGGGUGAAAUCCUGGAGCUCAACUCCAGAACUGCCUUUGAUACUGAGGAUCUUGAGUCCGGGAGAGGUGAGUGGAACUCCUAGUGUAGAGGUGGAAUUCGUAGAUAUUAGGAAGAACACCAGUGGCGAAGGCGGCUCACUGGUCCGGUACUGACGCUGAGGUGCGAAAGCGUGGGGAGCAAACAGG
RNAcentral lists this ribosomal RNA (253 nucleotides) under uncultured bacterium. Its description in RNAcentral is "partial 16S ribosomal RNA". It matches the Rfam family "Bacterial small subunit ribosomal RNA", at positions 524 to 776 of the family's 1533-position model. The record is from RNAcentral.